This 468-nucleotide ribosomal RNA is filed under the name uncultured bacterium. RNAcentral describes it as "partial 16S ribosomal RNA". It matches the Rfam family "Bacterial small subunit ribosomal RNA", at positions 28 to 507 of the family's 1533-position model. The record is from RNAcentral.
GACGAACGCUGGCGGCGUGCUUAACACAUGCAAGUCGAACGGAAAGGCCCUGCUUUUGUGGGGUGCUCGAGUGGCGAACGGGUGAGUAACACGUGGGUAACCUGCCCUUGACUUUGGGAUAACUUCAGGAAACUGGGGCUAAUACCGGAUAGGAGCUCCUGCUGCCUGGUGGGGGUUGGAAAGUUUCGGCGGUUGGGGAUGGACUCGCGGCUUAUCAGCUUGUUGGUGGGGUAGUGGCUUACCAAGGCUUUGACGGGUAGCCGGCCUGAGAGGGUGACCGGCCACAUUGGGACUGAGAUACGGCCCAGACUCCUACGGGAGGCAGCAGUGGGGAAUAUUGCACAAUGGGCGGAAGCCUGAUGCAGCAACGCCGCGUGCGGGAUGACGGCCUUCAGGUUGUAAACCGCUUUCGCCUGUGACGAAGCGUGAGUGACGGUAAUGGGUAAAGAAGCACCGGCUAACUACGUG